GUGCCAGCCGCCGCGGUAAUACGGAGGAUGCGAGCGUUAUCCGGAUUUAUUGGGUUUAAAGGGUGCGUAGGCGGAUUAAUAAGUCAGUGGUGAAAACCUGCAGCUUAACUGUAGAACUGCCAUUGAUACUGUUAGUCUUGAGUACGGUCAAGGUAGGCGGAAUGUGUAAUGUAGCGGUGAAAUGCUUAGAUAUUACACAGAACACCGAUUGCGAAGGCAGCUUACUGGGCCAUUACUGACGCUGAGGCACGAAAGCGUGGGGAGCGAACAGGAUUAGAUACCCUAGUAGUCC
This 292-nucleotide ribosomal RNA is filed under the name uncultured bacterium. Its description in RNAcentral is "partial 16S ribosomal RNA". It matches the Rfam family "Bacterial small subunit ribosomal RNA", at positions 505 to 796 of the family's 1533-position model. The record is from RNAcentral.